AAAAAUAAAAGUUGUCAAAAUUAUGUUUUGACUAUAUUACUAUGUAGAAGAGGAAGAUACGAGCACACUGGUGAAAACAGCGCUACAUUUAAAAAUCA
Long non-coding RNA from Populus euphratica (Euphrates poplar), 98 nucleotides. RefSeq lists it as uncharacterized. NCBI's taxonomy places the organism in Eukaryota, Viridiplantae, Streptophyta, Magnoliopsida, Malpighiales, Salicaceae. The transcript has 3 exons. The record is from RefSeq and is a predicted model, not a curated record.